Molecule: transfer RNA, 74 nt
Filed under: Hordeum vulgare
Lineage: Eukaryota; Viridiplantae; Streptophyta; Magnoliopsida; Poales; Poaceae
Description: tRNA-Val
Rfam family: tRNA
About the family: Transfer RNA (tRNA) molecules are approximately 80 nucleotides in length. Their secondary structure includes four short double-helical elements and three loops (D, anti-codon, and T loops). Further hydrogen bonds mediate the characteristic L-shaped molecular structure. tRNAs have two regions of fundamental functional importance: the anti-codon, which is responsible for specific mRNA codon recognition, and the 3' end, to which the tRNAs corresponding amino acid is attached (by aminoacyl-tRNA synthetases). tRNAs cope with the degeneracy of the genetic code in two manners: having more than one tRNA (with a specific anti-codon) for a particular amino acid; and 'wobble' base-pairing, i.e. permitting non-standard base-pairing at the 3rd anti-codon position.
Source: RNAcentral
GUCUGGGUGGUGUAGUUGGUUAUCACGUUAGUCUCACACACUAAAGGUCCCCAGUUCGAGCCUGGGCUUAGACA